Cydia fagiglandana is the source of this 331-nucleotide long non-coding RNA. RefSeq lists it as uncharacterized. The transcript is spliced from 3 exons. Lineage: Eukaryota; Metazoa; Arthropoda; Insecta; Lepidoptera; Tortricidae. The record is from RefSeq and is a predicted model, not a curated record.
AAAUUCAAAGGCAUUUGGUCACUCACGAUCAUGAGGAUUUUAUUUAUAUCAGUCAUCAUGUUAUUAAUUGCAAUGACAUCGGGUUAUUGGAAAGAGGCUGUCAAACAAAAGGCUUACCUGGUGAGAGACACAGCCGUUAGAGUGCAGAAAGAUUUGACAGCAUUGAGGGGGAUACUGCAAUUCCAGGCGAGGAUUAAAUCGAAACUGGACUUAAAUUGCUAGCACAUGGAGUAACGCCUACAUCUAAGAAGAUUGGCACAAACUUACAAAAAUAUCGUGGACACAAUAAAACGCAUUUUAAUAUCACAAAUAUAUUUAUUGUAUUAUUGUA